Molecule: ribosomal RNA, 253 nt
Filed under: uncultured bacterium
Lineage: Bacteria
Description: partial 16S ribosomal RNA
Rfam family: Bacterial small subunit ribosomal RNA
Source: RNAcentral
UACGUAGGGGGCAAGCGUUGUUCGGAAUUACUGGGCGUAAAGGGCGCGUAGGCGGCCUGGCAAGUCGGGAGUGAAAGGCCUGGGCUCAACCGAGGAACUGCUUUCGAGACUGCCAAGCUAGAGUGCGGAAGGGGCAUCUGGAAUUCCCAGUGUAGCGGUGAAAUGCGUAGAUAUUGGGAAGAACACCUGAGGCGAAGGCGGGAUGCUGGGCCGACACUGACGCUGAGGCGCGAAAGCCAGGGGAGCAAACGGG